GCCGGGUGUGGUGACUCAUGCCUGUAAUCCCAGUAAUUUGGGAGGCUGAGGCAAGAGGAUCACAAGUUUGAGGCCAGCCUUGGCAUCUUAGUGAGAUCCUGUCUCAA
Molecule: small RNA, 107 nt
Filed under: Marmota monax (woodchuck)
Lineage: Eukaryota; Metazoa; Chordata; Mammalia; Rodentia; Sciuridae
Source: RNAcentral